CAAUAGCGUAUAUUAAAGUUGCUGCAGUUAAAAGCUCGUAGUUGGAUUUGUGGCGCGGCCGUCCGGCGGGGGCUCUUCAUUGAGCCCGUUUGUCCUGGUUUUCGGCCGUUCCUUUCUCGGGUAGCGUGUGGCUGGCAUUAGGUUGUUGGCCGCUUCGCGCCCGUCUUUUACUGUGAAAAAAUUAGAGUGUUUAAAGCAGGCUUAAGCCGUUGAAUACAUUAGCAUGGAAUAAUAAGAUAAGACUUGGGUCAUUAUUUUGUUGGUUUGCGGAUCGAGGUAAUGAUUAAUAGGGAUAGUUGGGGGUAUUCAUAUUUAAUUGUCAGAGGUGAAAUUCUUGGAUUUAUGAAAGAUGAACUUAGGCGAAAGCAUUUACCAAGGAUGUUUUCAUUAAUCAAGAACGAAAGUUAGGGGAUCGAAGACGAUUAGAU
RNAcentral lists this ribosomal RNA (428 nucleotides) under uncultured eukaryote. Its description in RNAcentral is "bacterial SSU rRNA". It matches the Rfam family "Eukaryotic small subunit ribosomal RNA", at positions 592 to 1013 of the family's 1831-position model. The record is from RNAcentral.